GAUCCUGACUCAGGAUGAACGCUAGCUACAGGCUUAACACAUGCAAGUCGAGGGGCAGCAUGGUCUUAGCUUGCUAAGGCCGAUGGCGACCGGCGCACGGGUGAGUAACGCGUAUCCAACCUGCCUUACACUCUUGGACAGCCUUCUGAAGGGGAGAUUAAUACAAGAUGUUAUCAUGAGUAAGCAUUUUCGCAUGAUUAAAGGUUUACCGGUGUAAGAUGGGGAUGCGUUCCA
Molecule: ribosomal RNA, 234 nt
Filed under: uncultured bacterium
Lineage: Bacteria
Description: partial 16S ribosomal RNA
Rfam family: Bacterial small subunit ribosomal RNA
Source: RNAcentral